GUCGAACGGUAACAGGUUAAGCUGACGAGCGGCGAACGGGUGAGUAAUAUAUCGGAACGUGCCCAGUAGUGGGGGAUAGCCCGGCGAAAGCCGGAUUAAUACCGCAUACGACCUACGGGUGAAAGCGGGGGAUCGCAAGGCCUCGCGCUAUUGGAGCGGCCGAUAUCAGAUUAGCUAGUUGGUGGGGUAAAAGCCCACCAAGGCGACGAUCUGUAGCUGGUCUGAGAGGACGACCGGCCACACUGGGACUGAGACACGGCCCAGACUCCUACGGGAGGCAGCAGUGGGGAAUUUUGGACAAUGGACGCAAGUCUGAUCCAGCCGUGCCGCGUGCGGGAAGAAGGCCUUCGGGUUGUAGACCGCUUUUGUCAGGGAAGAAAAGUCUCGGGUUAAUACCUUGGGAUGAUGACGGUACCUGAAGAAUAAGCACCGGCUAACUACGUGCCAGCAGCCGCGGUAAUACGUAGGGUGCAAGCGUUAAUCGGAAUUACUGGGCGUAAAGCGUGCGCA
RNAcentral lists this ribosomal RNA (510 nucleotides) under uncultured bacterium. RNAcentral describes it as "bacterial SSU rRNA". It matches the Rfam family "Bacterial small subunit ribosomal RNA", at positions 61 to 573 of the family's 1533-position model. The record is from RNAcentral.